Gorilla gorilla gorilla (western lowland gorilla) is the source of this 1685-nucleotide long non-coding RNA. RefSeq lists it as uncharacterized. Lineage: Eukaryota; Metazoa; Chordata; Mammalia; Primates; Hominidae. The transcript has 3 exons. The record is from RefSeq and is a predicted model, not a curated record.
GUGCUGGCUCUGCUGUGGGCUUCCUUCCCUUCCUGUGCAGGUGGUGGUGCCCUCUGCGCCUUCACUGGGGCCCAGCCAAGUAACUGAAUCCAGCCAGGAGCAAGGGCAGACACUGGCACAGGUCCUGCCACUGUCCCCGACCUGGGUUUCAACACAGCUGAGGCCUGGCAUAGUCUUUCUGGACGCCUCUGGCUGGCUCGGUCUGAAAGGCGCGGCCAGGUCACAGUCGACACCAGAAGUUUGGCAGAUCUCAGUGAGGCGUUAGUUUGCAUUUCCUUGUGACGGGAACAGUACAACAUGAGGAAGGAGAAUCAAUGCACAGAAAUUAAGCUAAUGUCUUCAGUCUUUGCAACACCACUUGAGCAGCUUGACCAAGUCACUCAUGCCUAGUGGCCCCGUUAGUUGCUCUUCUCCCAUCAGUGAGCUCUGGAAUUUUCAUCAGUAGCUGCCUAUGCAUUACUCAUGGAUCAGAGAGCAGAAAGACACCAGACCUUGCCAAGUCCCACCUAGGUAGCUACACAGGGAGCCCUCUAUUGACCAUGGCCCAGAACAUGUGCAAGUGCCUUCCCAUAUGAGAGGGAGGGGCAUUGGAUUAAGAACCUGGUGACUCAGAAGGAAAUAUCCCCACCAGUGCUUUGGUGGGACUAGAAAAUUGAGCCCACUCCUGACACCAGGAAGUGCUCAUCUGGAGUUUAAUUGAAGACAAAAACCCCAAUGUUGGUGCCCAAAUGUCCCUGCCUUUUGAAACUGUUGUGUAAAUUCACUGAUAAUUCUCUUAGAUUCAUGUGGAGACAUUAGUAUUUUAACUGUUAUUCAUCCCUUUAAGGUCAUCUUCAGAAGACCCGACAUUGUGUUCUAAUUGCUCAGCAGGGCUCCCUCCUAGAAGUUUAGACAAAAACUUAUGCACAUGUGGACUGCACCAUCAGUGCCCUGGUUAUGUUGGAGUAAAAGUAUAGAGAAUUUUUAGGAAAACAGGCAGAAGUGUGGGUAUUUUUGCUAUUCUUUGCUUCACCUAUCCACGGAGGUGGAUAAAGACAUCUGGGAAGGGGAAAAUGUGGGCUAGCAAAUAGAGAAGAGGCUGCUACUAGGCUGGGAAGUGCCUCCCUCAUUUACUACUAGCCAGAGACACUGAACUUGGCUGUCCAGGCAAGCUUGGGUCCUGGGAUAUACCGAAAUAAACCUUGGCCUUUAUACAGACUUAUUCCUCAAGCCAAGUUGUUUCACCAACUUGGUUCUGAAGAUCCAGACCCCAGUUGGCAUGAAUCCAUCCCCCUUUCCAUCUUGCCAUCUUCAGCCCUCCCGGUGGAGCGGAGGUUCUCACCUAAAUAGAGAAGCUAAAUUUCUACCUUCUGAUUUUACCUUUUCCAUGUGUGCAUCUGGCACUUUCUCCAAAAGAUAAGAAUCAUUUGUGUUGACCUCUUCACUUAUUCAAUCCCACUUUCUCUUCUAACUUAGUAAGGAUUUCUGCUAGUUACAUUGGCUUUAAUUUCUUUUGCUCCCAGAAGUUAUUGGAAGAAUGCCCAUUAACCAUUUCAUCAUAUUAUUUCUAUAACCCAAAUUAAUUUUCCAGAACAUGCAGCAUAUCACCGUAAUGAUUUGCUAUGACCAGUUGCAUUAGAAAAUAUUGCCUUUCUAUUUUUUCUGUAUUUUUAAAUUCAAUCAAAAAGGAAUAAACUUCUGCUGAC